RNAcentral lists this long non-coding RNA (3902 nucleotides) under Sorghum bicolor (sorghum). RNAcentral describes it as "long non-coding RNA (SBIC_LNC005409)". Lineage: Eukaryota; Viridiplantae; Streptophyta; Magnoliopsida; Poales; Poaceae. The record is from RNAcentral.
UUCCAAAUAACUGUGAUGAUCUUGAAGAGGACGCUGCCAAUGAUAUGUGUACAUCCCAUAAUAUAUGCUCUGCAAAGUCUAUAAAUAUAAAUGGGCUCAGCAAAAAAUCUCGUGGUGCAAAGAGUCUGUAUGAUAUAGAAGAAAAUUCAGCUCAAGAGUCGUCUCAAGCCUUGACACUGUAUAAACAGCCACAAAAUUUAUCCUCUUCAAGCACUAGGUAUGCAUCGUCAAAAAGAAAGAAGCGGAAGGGACAUAAAGAUCAUGAGGAUGAUACAGUUCAAGGAUUCCAGCGUAUGAGAGAUCUUAGGGAAAUUGGAACAAAGAAUGUUCCCAAGCAGAAGUCUGGUGCAGGACCUGUUUCAGAUGUACCUCUUUUUGAAAGUGGACCGAGCUUUGGCUAUGAUUUGUCCAGUGCCAAUGGGAUAAAAAAGGGUAAGCAGUCUCAGUCAUCCAUAAAAAAGAAACGGUCCAGUAUCGGGCAGUCCUAUGAUAGUUUGAGUAAGAAAGAUAGGCAUCGCCCUCUAUCAAUGUUAUCUGAAGAUUCUGAAGUGUCUGGAACUUAUUAUCAUUGGGACCCUUCAGUCCAGUCUUCUAGUCAGUACCCAGGAGGCCAGAUACCCAAUUUGUUUGAAUCAAGUAGGGCAAAAAAUAUUUUUCCGUCUGAUGUAAAUAACUGUUCCUACAGCUCAGGCACUUCAAGUUUGGAGACAUUAUUAGAUACAUCACACAUCAAUCAUAAAGGUUCUGUAAAUGCUGUUACUCUCAAGGAUGCUGACCCAUGCACGACUGGAUUUCUCAAUGAUGACUGCCUUGAUUGUGAUGGAUUUCUUGAUGCCGUUACUUUGGAGGGUGAUGUUCUGCAGGAAGGUAAAAGUCUGCCAUUUUUAUUUUCCUUUUUUUUUUUGUUGCACCAUUUUCUCUUUUUUGGUGAAAAAAUGGUUUGUAUGUUAAGCAAACCUUACCUACUGUCUCCAAUUAUAGAGGUGUCUCCAAUUAUAGAGGUCAGUUACAUGAAUGCACACAGGAAUAGUAUUUGUGGAUGUAACAUGUUAUAACAGUAGAUGAGGUUUGCGUAAGCGUUCAAGUCAUGUGUUCAACUGUGUCCAAUUAGAUAAGUCAGUAGGCCAUGUGGUGUUAGACAAAUCACUUAUUGGCAAAAUUUCUUGUUUUCUUGUUCAGCAGAGUUCUUUUAGGUUUCUUGCAUACAAAUAUGAUUGGUUAUCCAAUUGGACUGCAGUUUCUUAGUCAUUUGUCAUCAUAUUUUGAUGCAAGUUUUACAUAUAAAUGGAUGGGAAUGUCUGAUUUUAUCACUCUGAACUAGCAUAUUGAGCGUUUUUCCUAAUCUUUCUGGUAACUUUUUCCAGGCCAUUUGGAUACUUAUGGAUCUUGUGCAUCCAUAAAGGAUCAAAUUUCAAAACUGGGUAAUCAAAGUACUGGCUGUGGCAUAGGUGGCAUACCUUCAACUCGACAUAAUAGAAAUUCCAAGAAGAAAAGCAUAACGUCUGUCAAUUUGAUACCUAAAGAAAGCCAGAAGAGGGAUAUAAAUUCGCUGCUGCAAUGUGAAGGGAUUAUAAAAUCGGAAGGUACUGUCUUUAGGCCUGCUGAACUUGAGGAUAAUACACAACAUGCGACUCCUGAGCAUGAUGAGUCCUCUGAAACUAUAAGCAACCAUUCAAACUCGGAGAAGGGCACAACAUCAUUCUCCAAUUAUGUUCCGCUUCAAGUACUACCACCGCCUGGACAGCGGCCUGAUCUGAAACCUCCAAGAUGCCCUGUAACGAGUCCAACCAAGAGAGCACGCACAGAUAGAUUAUAUGAUGUUGAGCUGACUGUCCAAAGAAGCUACAAGGGUCAUCAUGUGCCCCUUGUUUCCCUCAUGAGUAAAUGGACAGGUAAACCAAUUGUGGGGUAUCCUGUCACCGUGGAGGUUUUGGAGGAUAGUUGUCCCAUAACAAGUAGAGAUGAGCACCACCCUGUGAAGGGCAGUCUAGACUCCUUACUGAAGAGCAAAGUUGCAGAACCACGGCAAGCAAGAUCUUCACAUGCACCACGAUCAAAAUCUAAAUCCAGUGGACGUAAAAAGGCCUCAGAACAUGAUUUGGACAAGUCUUGGCGGCCCCAUACCAAGAAACCAGCAUCUUCACCGAGGAAAAUGAGGAGGCUAUCAUCUUUCGCCGGCAGCCGGAGAGAGUGUGCAGACCAGAAGCCUGUAGUUGCAAAAACUGGCGGACCAGCAGUUGCGUGCGUCCCACUUCGGCUCGUUUUCAGUAGGAUCAAUGAAGCACUAAGCUUUCCGUUGAGACAGGAAAACCCCACCUGAAGUUGUGGCAGUUUUGCAUUGCAGAGAUAGAAUGGGGGCAGGCAUAUACAUUUGCUAGGUUUUCUUUGUACAUUAGUUACCAUGUUAUCUAAAAGCUUGUUGCCUGGCAUAUUUAUAUCAGUAUAUCAUGAUGUAAUCUGUAACUGCACUAGGCAAUUACAACUUACCCACCGUGAGAUAAGGGUCGAACAUCCAAAGGUGGGAAGAAAUAAGAGGGGCAUCAGUUGCUGUGGCUUCAUCUGACAGUGGAGGAAAAAAUGGCAGCAGCCCUGUUCACAUACAUCUUAUAAAAUUCUCAUGUUUGCUGGCAACUUUUAGUUGUUUUAGGCAAGUAGCAAGUUGCUGUUUAUAAAAUUCCCUCAUAUUUGCCGGCUACAUUUAGUUGUUUUAGGCAAGUAGCAAGUUGCUGUAUGUAAUCAGUCAUUGCAACGAUUUCAGGGCUUAGUGCAACUACUUGCAGCUUUGAGCAUGCCUGUCCAUUUACUCACCAGGCAUCUCUAGUGUUGAUGCUGGUCUCUACGGUGUAGAUGCUUGAAUGUGCUAAUUUUGUGGUAUCACCGGUGCAGAUUUUUUGACACAUCGCAUAAGGUCGAGGCAUAUACUUUGGCAUGAGAGAGCACUCGGAGAAUACCAUGUGGGCAGCCAUUCCAGUGAGACAAGCUGUUCGGACCUCGUAUGCAGCUAGGUCAGAUAAUGUUCGACAUGAUAGGUUCACUCGUGUGAUUGGUUGUGCGAAGCCAGUAAUUUUGCGAUAAUCUAUAUCUACAGAUGCAUUAUGGAUGUGCAUAAUUUUAAUUUCAGAAACCCUUACUUCUGAGUGUGCAGGAUCUGGGUGCUCGGUGCGCACACCCGCACCCACCGUCGAUUCAUGCUUGUGCUCUCCCGGCCAUCGGAUUCGUGCUCCCUUGCUCGUGUCCGUUGUCUUCUUUCCUAGCUCCGGCGGCGGCUAGGGUUUCGGUGGCCCACACCAUCCCCUUCUUCCCCAAUUUUGGCGGAGAGAAGGGACUCGAGGGAAUCAGGCAGGCUAGGUGGUGGGGACGGCAGCAAGGUAAUUUAGGGCCCUAGCGGCCGUGGAGGGGGCCAAGCUAGGUCGGAGCAAGGGCGCCUUGGCGGGAGCUCAAGAAAGACUUCAUCGGAGCUCAUGACAGCGUGUGGGGAGAGAGGGUGGGGGUACGAAGGUCACCAUGAGCGGUGGUCGGCUGAGCGAUAGUAGGUGGGGGAGGUGGGUGCACUCUUGCCGGAUCUGGAGGGGGUUGAGGGCGGCGUCAUUAAGCCGAGGAGUAGGGGGUGCGGCGUGGGGUCAAGCACGGUAGGAACAAGAUAAGAGGAAGGAGGUGUGCGAGGAGAUAGGCGUGUGUUUGCACAUGGAGAAUAGUAAGGCCAUUUUAAUUUUCGUGAAAACUCCAACUAUGUUUUUCUAAAGUGUUACACAAUUGAUCUAGUAGAGGGUCUGCGCUGAAUAUUUUUCCUAGGAUCAGUCGUGUACGUGUUUAAAUUCUGAGCAGCACGGGCUUAACAGUCAUUUAGAUUCUGAGCAUCAGCAUCAGCCACUUCUCUAUUCGGCUUAUCAUUUCUGCAGCUA